This 1064-nucleotide ribosomal RNA is filed under the name Chaetoceros debilis. Its description in RNAcentral is "SSU rRNA". It matches the Rfam family "Eukaryotic small subunit ribosomal RNA", at positions 13 to 1102 of the family's 1831-position model. The record is from RNAcentral. Lineage: Eukaryota; Bacillariophyta; Thalassiosirophyceae; Chaetocerotales; Chaetocerotaceae.
CCUGCCAGUAAUCAUACGCUCGUCUCAAAGAUUAAGCCAUGCAUGUGUAAGUAUAAAUAUUAUAUCUUAAAACUGCGAACGGCUCAUUAUAUCAGUUGUAAUCUCUUUCGUAAUCCCUUACUACUUGGACAACCGUAGUAAUUCUAGAGCUAAUACAUGCAUAAAUACCACGUAGUGGUAGCGCUUAUUAGAUUGAAACCAACUUCCUUCGGGAAGAUUUAGGUGACUCACAAUAACUUUGCGAAUCGCAUGCUUUUUGCGGCGAUGGACGAAUCGAGCUUCUGCCCUAUCAGCUUUGAUGGCAGGGUAUUGGCCUGCCAUGGCUUUAACGGGUAACGGAGAAUUAGGGUUUGAUUCCGGAGAGGGAGCCUGAGAAACGGCUACCACAUCUAAGGAAGGCAGCAGGCGCGAAAAUUACCCAAUACUAAUACAGUGAGGUAGUAACAAUAAAUAACACAGCCCAGCAUUUCAUGUUGGGCUUUUGGAAUGAGAACAAUUUAAAUCCAUUAUCGAGGAUCAAUUGGAGGGCAAGUCUGGUGCCAGCAGCCGCGGUAAUUCCAGCUCCAAUAGCGUAUAUUAAAGUUGCUGCAGUUAAAAAGCUCGUAGUUGGAUUUCUAGCGAGGCACGAGAAUAUCCACCUAUGGUGAAUACUUCUCUCGCCUUGCUCUUCUUUAGUUGAUGUCUCUGGCAUUAAGUUGUCGGAGUCCUGAGACUAAUCGUUUACUGUGAGAAAAUUAGAGUGUUCAAAGCAGGCUUAUGCCGUUGAAUAUAUUAGCAUGGAAUAAUAAGAUAGGACUUCGGUACUAUUUUGUUGGUUUGCGUACUGAUGUAAUGAUAAAUAGGGACUGGCGUGGGUAUUCGUAUUUUAAUGUCAGAGGUGAAAUUCUUAGAUUAUUGAAAGACGGACGACUGCGAAAGCAUCUACCAAGUAUGUUUUCAUUAAUCAAGAACGAAAGUAUGGGGAUCGAAGAUGAUUAGAUACCAUCGUAGUCUAUACCAUAAACUAUGCCGACUCAGGGUGGUCUGUCGAUUUAACGAUAGACUGAACUGUAGGAGAAAUCAAA